This 253-nucleotide ribosomal RNA is filed under the name uncultured bacterium. Its description in RNAcentral is "partial 16S ribosomal RNA". It matches the Rfam family "Bacterial small subunit ribosomal RNA", at positions 524 to 776 of the family's 1533-position model. The record is from RNAcentral.
UACGUAGGGUGCAAGCGUUAAUCGGAAUUACUGGGCGUAAAGCGUGCGCAGGCGGUUUUGUAAGUCUGUCGUGAAAGCCCCGGGCUCAACCUGGGAAUUGCGAUGGAGACUGCAAGGCUUGAAUCUGGCAGAGGGGGGUAGAAUUCCACGUGUAGCAGUGAAAUGCGUAUAGAUGUGGAGGAACACCGAUGGCGAAGGCAGCCCCCUGGGUCAAGAUUGACGCUCAUGCACGAAAGCGUGGGGAGCAAACAGG